This 435-nucleotide ribosomal RNA is filed under the name uncultured bacterium. RNAcentral's name for it is "partial 16S ribosomal RNA". It matches the Rfam family "Bacterial small subunit ribosomal RNA", at positions 29 to 507 of the family's 1533-position model. The record is from RNAcentral.
AGCGAACGCUGGCGGCAGGCUUAACACAUGCAAGUCGAGCGGGCGUAGCAAUACGUCAGCGGCAGACGGGUGAGUAACGCGUGGGAACGUACCUUUUGGUUCGGAACAACACAGGGAAACUUGUGCUAAUACCGGAGAAGCCCUUACGGGGAAAGAUUUAUCGCCGAAAGAUCGGCCCGCGUCUGAUUAGCUAGUUGGUGAGGUAACGGCACACCAAGGCGACGAUCAGUAGCUGGUCUGAGAGGCUGAUCAGCCACAUUGGGACUAAGACACGGCCCAAACUCCUACGCGAGGCAGCAGUGGGGAAUAUUGGACAAUGGGGGCAACCCUGAUCCAGCCAUGCCGCGUGAGUGAUGAAGGCCCUAGGGUUGUAAAGCUCUUUUGUGCGGGAAGAUAAUGACGGUACCGCAAGAAUAAGCCCCGGCUAACUUCGUG